This 22-nucleotide microRNA is filed under the name Macaca mulatta (Rhesus monkey). RNAcentral describes it as "Mml-Novel-11_5p (mature (co-guide))". Lineage: Eukaryota; Metazoa; Chordata; Mammalia; Primates; Cercopithecidae. The record is from RNAcentral.
UCGCGCUUCUCUCUCGCAGUCU